UACGUAGGGUGCAAGCGUUAAUCGGAAUUACUGGGCGUAAAGCGUGCGCAGGCGGUUAUGUAAGACAGAUGUGAAAUGCCCGGGCUUAACCUGGGAACUGCAUUUGUGACUGCAUGGCUAGAGUUUGGCAGAGGGGGGUAGAAUUCCACGUGUAGCAGUGAAAUGCGUAGAUAUGUGGAGGAACACCGAUGGCGAAGGCAGCCCCCUGGGUCAAGACUGACGAUCAUGCACGAAAGCGUGGGGAGCAAACAGG
This 253-nucleotide ribosomal RNA is filed under the name uncultured bacterium. RNAcentral's name for it is "partial 16S ribosomal RNA". It matches the Rfam family "Bacterial small subunit ribosomal RNA", at positions 524 to 776 of the family's 1533-position model. The record is from RNAcentral.